RNAcentral lists this long non-coding RNA (3241 nucleotides) under Gallus gallus (chicken). RNAcentral describes it as "lncRNA (ENSGALG00010016188.1)". Lineage: Eukaryota; Metazoa; Chordata; Aves; Galliformes; Phasianidae. The record is from RNAcentral.
GUCCCAGUGCUCGGGGCCUCCCGUCGCAUGGGCCUCACUGUUUGGGGAUGGGCUUUAGGUUGCAGCAUCUUGGAGUCAAUUAAUUGUAUUGAUGUUGUUAACAUUCUCUGUAAAUUCACGGAAAUUACCAGAUGAAUAUUUGAUGAGGCUAAUUAAGCCUGAAUUACUGCCCCCUCUCCCCCUCUCUUUUCUGCUGUUCUCUCUGGAAUGUGGGUGAGCGUUUGAUUUCCUCAAUUGUCCUGUCCCCAAAGCCUUGGGCUUAGACUUAUAGAACUGUUUGAGUUGGAAGGGACCCUUGAAGGCCAUCUGGUCCAAUGCCCCGCAAUGAGCAGGGACACCUACAGAGUGGGACAAUCCUUUCCCUUGCCCGGUGGCAGUGCUGAGCCUGUUGUUCGCCAGGAUAAAGUUGGCUUUCCUGGCUGGCUGGGUUAUGGUUGACUGACGUUCAAACCCUUUUCCUUCCUCCUGUUCCGCUUGCCAAGCACGGCCUGUGUUAAGGCUAAUGAGUUAAUGAGCCAGGAUAAGUAACAGGGCUUUGUUCUUAGCCUUGUUUUUUUCCCACUUCACCUUUAAAGACACGAAAGGUGAAAAUAAAACAAAAGCAGCUCUGUGGGCAUGCUUCCCCCCCCCCCCAUUUUCCCAGGCUUUUCUCCCCCACAUCUACCUCUCCUGCUCCCUGCUGUGCCCUGCCAUGCCCUGAACCUGCCAGCAUUGGGAGCUGACUCUGCUGUCAAGGAUGCCCUUAUCUCCAAGGGUAUGGCUUGCCUUUCGGAUUCAGGAUGGCGUUAAGAUCAAGGCUCUGACUAAUCUCCUCUGAUACGGUAUGCCACGGCAGGGCAGAGGGUCUGACAGCACGGGGCUGCUGCCCGAUUUGUGUUCAUCCCCUCCCCCCAGACACAGCUAUGGAGACACUGCAGGGUCUGCAGAGGGGAGUCCUUCUUUGCACAGAGCAGAUUCAUCCCCCGGGCUGCUCAGCUCUGAGCUCAUGCCCAACAGGAGCUGCACAUUGUAAAACAGGCCAGGUGUGCUGCGGUAAGUGGAGUGACAGGCAGAAAUAAGCACAAAAGAAUUAGAUGGAUAGAUAGGAAUGAGGGAUCAAUAAACCAAGACUAAAGAUAGCAAGAGAGAUGCUCUGAGUGCUGUUCACAGAGAAAUAGAUGUUGCAGGCAAAAAGAUCCUUGAAUCAGAGAAACAUCAAAUGGGAGAGAUGAGGCUUUGAGAAGGGUCACUUUAAAUGCACUUCAGUGCUGGGCCAGGAUUAGCCAGACAAUACCUGGCUAAUGCUUCCUCUUUUCUCUUCUUGUUUUAGACCCAAGUGCUAGGACCGGAGCAGCACCACCAGCCCUACUUUCAGCACUUCAUUCAGAACUCCAUCUCAGCAUCAGCCCAUCUCCUCUUCUGCAGUAAUGCCUCCUCCCACCACAGCUCAGCCUGGCUUCACCCUAUCCCGAGGCGAGCUACUGCCCAUCUCCUCCUUCUCCAUAGGCAUCUGGGCACAAAGCUGCUGAAAGAAACCAGCCUAUUCCUCUCUGUGCACAUGGAGAGCCCUUGGGGGACUGGUGGGUGUCUGUUUGGAGGUAGGGGAUCGGGUGAGCCCAUUCUGCCAGUAGAUGCCCGGUGUGGUCCUUCCCCAGGGAGGAAUCUGUGCUGUGGGCGCUUUGUCUGUGGGGCUGCGCUGGAGCCGUUUAUCAGUCCCGAUGCAUAUUUAAUGCCAAAGUGGUGAGCAGAAGCAGAGCAGUGUUUGCAGACAGGCGAGCCGGGGAGCUCUGCCAUGGCUGUUAACAGUCCUGCAUUAAUUAUGAUGGAAUAAAUAAUUCACAGGGCUAAUAACAAAGGCUUGUUUUUAAUGGCGAUGGAAAUCCCGCUGCUCCCGGGAGGCAGCGGAGGAAAUGCUGUGCACUGAACCCAGUGGGCAGCACAGCAAAGCAUGGGGGUCCUGCGUGGUGGCAUUCUGGGGGGGCCCUGCACAACCCUAGGGCAUCGUGGCUCUCCAUGGCACCUGCCUGGAAAGCUUGCAGGAUGAGGGCAGGAGGGAUCAGCUUCUGUGGGACCCACACUUGUGCUGGAACAGCAGGCAGCUCUUCCAUCUCCCACCUGUCUCAUUUUGCCUUGCUUUUUAGCCUUGUGCAGUGGAAGUGCAGAUCCCCAGCUCUGUGCCUUGUCCGGAUGCAGUGGGCACAGCCUGCGUCUUCCCUGUCCUUCCCUCAGGCUGUGUGUCCUUCCCUUCCUUCCCUCCAUAACCUGCUCUUUGACUUCUUUGAACAUUAAUAUGAAUGUUUUCUUGCACCCCUAUUGUCCUUCAGCUUAAAUAGCUUUUUCCCCUCCCUGAUGUUUACCCUCCAGAUGUAUUUAUAGAGAAAAAAAGUCACAUCGAUGCCAGUGUACUUCAUCUGGGCUAAGUGAUAUCUGUUCCCCUCUCCGUGCCAUGUGCCCUGGCUCAGCCCACAGCCCUGCUCUGCUCCUCCUUACCGUCCUUUGUUGUGGGCAUCCUCCUGGCUGGCAUCCAAAGCCACCACGGUGGGUGACUUUGGGCAAACCACGUUGCUUUGCCUGCCUCAGUUCCCCUAUAUAGGGAGAAUGGUGACUCCAUCCUGUGGCAAGGGCUGGCUAUAGGAAAUGUAGGAGCUGUCUGCUUUCCAGUGCUGAUCCUUUAUGGAGGCUCAUUUCAAUACUCUGUGUUUACACCUCAAUGGGACCACAAACCCCGUCCCACCCCAUUGCGGGCAGCUGCAGAAUGGCACAGGCACGGAGCUCUGCACCUACAGAGGAGGUGUUUGCACAGACAAACAGCCACCCUUGGACUGUUCCCAUCCAAAGAGGUGUUUUAGAGGAGACCGGGACAGCCCCCAGCACAGGCUGUUGACACAGGAGAAUGCAGCAGAUUUCACCUAGAAAGGGGCUGUUUGAACAGAACAGCACAGCUCAGAAGUGCUUAUGUCUGGAGAGUGGAUGUUUACACAGGGGAAUAAAGCAUCCGCCUUGCUAUUAGAGCACAAAACAAAUGUUUGCCCAGGUAAGCACAGAGCCCAAGCUCCGGUUUGGCAUUGGGUCUGUAGCUCUCAAUGAGCACAGCCGCUGUUGGGCUCUCCCAGGUCCCCGCUGUGCUGGGGGAUGGGGUGCAUGGCUCACCCACAGCCAAAGCCACCUCUUCUCAGCCGGCUCAAGAAUUAAGCACCAUUCAGCACACGCUGGUGAAAAAUUGCUUUUAAUUCCUUUUUCUUUCCAUUAGACAUGCUCUCUC